This 580-nucleotide ribosomal RNA is filed under the name Magnaporthiopsis incrustans. RNAcentral's name for it is "SSU rRNA". It matches the Rfam family "Eukaryotic small subunit ribosomal RNA", at positions 40 to 625 of the family's 1831-position model. Lineage: Eukaryota; Fungi; Ascomycota; Sordariomycetes; Magnaporthales; Magnaporthaceae. The record is from RNAcentral.
UAGAUUAGCCAUGCAUGUCUAAGUAUAAGCAAUUAUACAGCGAAACUGCGAAUGGCUCAUUAAAUCAGUUAUCGUUUAUUUGAUAGUACCUUACUACAUGGAUAACCGUGGUAAUUCUAGAGCUAAUACAUGCUGAAAACCCCGACUUCGGAAGGGGUGUAUUUAUUAGAUUAAAAGCCAAUGCCCUUCGGGGCUCACUGGUGAUUCAUGAUAACUUCUCGAAUCGCACGGCCUUGCGCCGGCGAUGGUUCAUUCAAAUUUCUGCCCUAUCAACUUUCGACGGCUGGGUCUUGGCCAGCCGUGGUGACAACGGGUAACGGAGGGUUAGGGCUCGACCCCGGAGAAAACGCCUGAGAAACGGCGUUUACAUCCAAGGAAGGCAGCAGGCGCGCAAAUUACCCAAUGCCGACACGGCGAGGUAGUGACGAGAAAUACUGAUACAGGGCUCUUUUGGGUCUUGUAAUUGGAAUGAGUACAAUUUAAAUCUCUUAACGAGGAACAAUUGGAGGGCAAGUCUGGUGCCAGCAGCCGCGGUAAUUCCAGCUCCAAUAGCGUAUAUUAAAGUUGUUGCAGUUAAAAA